Non-coding RNA from Halocaridina rubra (Hawaiian volcano shrimp), 73 nucleotides. NCBI's taxonomy places the organism in Eukaryota, Metazoa, Arthropoda, Malacostraca, Decapoda, Atyidae. The record is from the annotation of a GenBank genome assembly.
ACCUUCUGUGGUGUAGGUGGUAGCGCCUUGUCUUAGCAAUAAUAAGUCCCAGGUUCAAGUCCCGGUUGGGGUA